RNAcentral lists this small nuclear RNA (210 nucleotides) under Peromyscus maniculatus bairdii (prairie deer mouse). Its description in RNAcentral is "7SK RNA (ENSPEMG00000002199.2)". It matches the Rfam family "7SK RNA". From Rfam's summary of the family: 7SK was discovered as an abundant small nuclear RNA in the mid-70s but a possible function has only recently been suggested. Lineage: Eukaryota; Metazoa; Chordata; Mammalia; Rodentia; Cricetidae. The record is from RNAcentral.
GCACAGGACCUGGUACCACUGCCUAGAUGCCUCCCAAACAGAUCAAGCCAAUCAACUGUGAAUAGAGGAGGACUGGUCUUUGGUCAAGGGUAUACGAGUAGCUGUGCUCCCCUGCUAGAACCUCCAAACAAGCUCUCCUAAUUUACAUUUUAACUAUUGCCAGAUAUCUAACUUUAUAAGCUAAUUUAAUACAACUUCUUAGACAUAAUU